GAUGAACGCUGGCGGCGUGCCUAAUACAUGCAAGUCGAGCGAACGGACGAGAAGCUUGCUUCUCUGAUGUUAGCGGCGGACGGGUGAGUAACACGUGGAUAACCUACCUAUAAGACUGGGAUAACUUCGGGAAACCGGAGCUAAUACCGGAUGAUAUUUUGAACCGCAUGGUUCAAAAGUGAAAGACGGUCUUGCUGUCACUUAUAGAUGGAUCCGCGCUGCAUUAGCUAGUUGGUAAGGUAACGGCUUACCAAGGCAACGAUGCAUAGCCGACCUGAGAGGGUGAUCGGCCGCACUGGAACUGAGACACGGUCCAGACUCCUACGGGAGGCAGCAGUAGGGAAUCUUCCGCAAUAGGCGAAAGCCUGACGGAGCAACGCCGCGUGAGUGAUGAAGGUCGUCGGAUCGUAAAACUCUGUUAUUAGGGAAGAACAUAUGUGUAAGUAACUGUGCACAUCUUGACGGUACCUAAUCAGAAAGCCACGGCUAACUACGUGC
RNAcentral lists this ribosomal RNA (498 nucleotides) under uncultured bacterium. RNAcentral's name for it is "partial 16S ribosomal RNA". It matches the Rfam family "Bacterial small subunit ribosomal RNA", at positions 28 to 508 of the family's 1533-position model. The record is from RNAcentral.